Molecule: small nucleolar RNA, 135 nt
Filed under: Vicugna pacos (alpaca)
Lineage: Eukaryota; Metazoa; Chordata; Mammalia; Artiodactyla; Camelidae
Description: Small nucleolar RNA SNORA31 (ENSVPAG00000017671.1)
Source: RNAcentral
GUGCAUCUAUUUGACAAACCUGAGCAGUUACCAUCUACUGCAAAAGUUUCCACUACAGAUGCUAGAAAAAGAGUGUCCUCACAUUUUCUGUCUGUCUGAUUGUGGCAGCCAAGAAUGAAAAAGAGGAAUAGAAGA